UACGGAGGGGGCUAGCGUUGUUCGGAAUUACUGGGCGUAAAGCGCACGUAGGCGGCUUUGCAAGUCAGAGGUGAAAGCCCGGGGCUCAACCCCGGAAUUGCCUUUGAGACUGCAUCGCUAGAAUUGUGGAGAGGUAAGUGGAAUUCCGAGUGUAGAGGUGAAAUUCGUAGAUAUACGAAGGAACGCCAAAAGCGAAGGCAGCUCUCUGGGUCCCUACCGACGCUGGGGUGCGAAAGCAUGGGGAGCGAACAGG
Molecule: ribosomal RNA, 253 nt
Filed under: uncultured bacterium
Lineage: Bacteria
Description: partial 16S ribosomal RNA
Rfam family: Bacterial small subunit ribosomal RNA
Source: RNAcentral